GGAUGUGAGGGCCAUCUGUCUGUGACAUCUGUUACCUCACUGAUCACCAAGGUUGAUGUGGUGAUCUGGCUGGCUAGGCAGGUGUCCUUGUCCUCCCUCACCGCUCCAUGUGUGCAUCCUUCUGGAAGCUGCAUGCUCAGUCUAAUAGUAGAACCUUCCCUGAUAGAGGAGGACCAUUUUUUGAUCAAGGUAUAGGAGUAGCUGCAUUUCCCCACCAGAACCUCCAAACAAGCUCUCGAGGUCCAGUUGUAGGAGAAUGUAGGGUAAUCAAGACUCCAGACACGUCCAAAUGAGGUCCUGUGUGUGGCAGUCUGCCUUUCUCU
Molecule: small nuclear RNA, 323 nt
Filed under: Ailuropoda melanoleuca (giant panda)
Lineage: Eukaryota; Metazoa; Chordata; Mammalia; Carnivora; Ursidae
Description: 7SK RNA
Rfam family: 7SK RNA
About the family: 7SK was discovered as an abundant small nuclear RNA in the mid-70s but a possible function has only recently been suggested. Two independent studies have found that 7SK RNA binds the CDK9/cyclin T complex (known as elongation factor P-TEFb).
Source: Rfam by way of RNAcentral